GCCUGGCUGGCUCAGUCGGUUAAGUGUCCGACUUCAGCUCAGGUCACGAUCUCGCAGUCCGUGAGUUCGAGCCCCACGUCAGGCU
Molecule: transfer RNA, 85 nt
Filed under: Felis catus (domestic cat)
Lineage: Eukaryota; Metazoa; Chordata; Mammalia; Carnivora; Felidae
Rfam family: tRNA
About the family: Transfer RNA (tRNA) molecules are approximately 80 nucleotides in length. Their secondary structure includes four short double-helical elements and three loops (D, anti-codon, and T loops).
Source: Rfam by way of RNAcentral